RNAcentral lists this ribosomal RNA (977 nucleotides) under Gemmatimonadota bacterium. RNAcentral's name for it is "bacterial SSU rRNA". It matches the Rfam family "Bacterial small subunit ribosomal RNA", at positions 1 to 956 of the family's 1533-position model. Lineage: Bacteria; Pseudomonadati; Gemmatimonadota. The record is from RNAcentral.
AUCUUGGAGAGUUUGAUCCUGGCUCAGGACGAACGCUGGCGGCGUGCUUAACACAUGCAAGUCGUGCGAGAAAACCCCUUCGGGGGUGAGUACAGCGGCGGACGGGUGAGUAACACGUGAGCGAUCUACCCGGUGGCGGGGGACAACCCAGGGAAACCUGGACUAAUACCGCAUACAGCGGAGGGAGUAGGUGCCCUUCGUGAAAGCUGGCCUCUCCAUGGAAGCUAGCGUCGCCGGAGGAGCUCGCGGCCUAUCAGCUUGUUGGUGGGGUAAAGGCCUACCAAGGCGAUGACGGGUAGCUGACGUGAGAGCGUGACCAGCCACACUGGGACUGAGACACGGCCCAGACUCCUACGGGAGGCAGCAGUGGGGAAUAUUGCGCAAUGGGCGAAAGCCUGACGCAGCGACGCCGCGUGGGGGAGGAAGGCCCUAGGGUUGUAAACCCCUGUCAGGUGGGACGAACCCUGGGUCGACGAAUAGUUGGCUCAGCUGACGGUACCAUCAGAGGAAGCUCCGGCUAACUCCGUGCCAGCAGCCGCGGUAACACGGGGGGAGCAAGCGUUGUUCGGAUUCAUUGGGCGUAAAGAGCUCGUAGGCGGCUCCGUAAGUCAGAGGUGAAAGACCACGGCUCAACCGUGGGAACGCCUUUGAAACUACGGAGCUUGAGGCCGGGAGAGGAAAGUGGAAUUCCUGGAGUAGCGGUGAAAUGCGUAGAUAUCAGGAGGAACACCAGUGGCGAAGGCGACUUUCUGGACCGGUUCUGACGCUGAGGAGCGAAAGCCAGGGGAGCAAACAGGAUUAGAUACCCUGGUAGUCCUGGCCGUAAACGAUGGGCACUAGGUGUGGGGGGAUCGACCCCUUCCGUGCCGCAGUUAACGCAUUAAGUGCCCCGCCUGGGGAGUACGACCGCAAGGUUGAAACUCAAAGGAAUUGACGGGGGCCCGCACAAGCGGUGGAGCAUGUGGUUUAAUUCGAUG